RNAcentral lists this ribosomal RNA (376 nucleotides) under uncultured bacterium. RNAcentral describes it as "bacterial SSU rRNA". It matches the Rfam family "Bacterial small subunit ribosomal RNA", at positions 523 to 898 of the family's 1533-position model. The record is from RNAcentral.
AUACGUAGGGGGCGAGCGUUGUCCGGAAUUACUGGGCGUAAAGGGCGUGUAGGCGGCCGAGCAAGUCAAGUGUGAAAAGCCUCGGCUUAACCGAGGCAUUGCACAUGAAACUGCAUGGCUUGAGUGCAGGAGAGGGAAGUGGAAUUCCUAGUGUAGCGGUGAAAUGCGUAGAUAUUAGGAGGAACACCAGUGGCGAAGGCGACUUCCUGGACUGUAACUGACGCUGAGGCGCGAAAGCGUGGGUAGCAAACAGGAUUAGAUACCCUGGUAGUCCACGCCGUAAACGAUGAAUGCUAGGUGUAGGGGUUGUCAUGACCUCUGUGCCGCCGCAAACGCAUUAAGUAUUCCGCCUGGGGAGUACGGUCGCAAGAUUAAA